ACACACGUAUUGAUAAGGACACGAAGGAAUGAUACCGGCUCAAAGAGAGGGAAGCCCUGGCUGCAAGCUUCCCAGCUAAGGACCAUUCGCUUUACCGCCUUUGAACUUCAGCUGUGAACCUCUUGAAAAGGAACAGUAAUGGCUGACGGGAACUCCCGUUACAGAGCUUAGAGCCGCAGGUGCCGUGUAUUGGCUUUGCGGAAAAAAGGGUGGAACCACGAUUCCGUUUAUUCAACCUCGUCCCUUUC
This 248-nucleotide non-coding RNA is filed under the name Bacillus subtilis. RNAcentral also lists the same sequence under 1 other name. The record is from RNAcentral. Lineage: Bacteria; Bacillati; Bacillota; Bacilli; Caryophanales; Bacillaceae.